RNAcentral lists this ribosomal RNA (253 nucleotides) under uncultured bacterium. Its description in RNAcentral is "partial 16S ribosomal RNA". It matches the Rfam family "Bacterial small subunit ribosomal RNA", at positions 524 to 776 of the family's 1533-position model. The record is from RNAcentral.
UACGGAGGGUGCAAGCGUUAUCCGGAUUCACUGGGUUUAAAGGGUGCGUAGGUGGAUCAAUAAGUCAGUGGUGAAAGCCCCGAGCUCAACUUGGGAAUUGCCAUUGAUACUGUAGAUCUUGAGUGCGGUUGAGGUAGGCGGAAUGUUACAUGUAGCGGUGAAAUGCUUAGAUAUGUAACAGAACACCAAUUGCGAGGGCAGCUUACCAAGCCGAUACUGACACUGAGGCACGAAAGCGUGGGGAUCAAACAGG